This 425-nucleotide ribosomal RNA is filed under the name uncultured delta proteobacterium. RNAcentral describes it as "bacterial SSU rRNA". It matches the Rfam family "Bacterial small subunit ribosomal RNA", at positions 122 to 523 of the family's 1533-position model. Lineage: Bacteria; Deltaproteobacteria. The record is from RNAcentral.
UAACCUACCCUUGAAUUGGGGAUAACUCCUCGAAAGGGGAGUUAAUACCGAAUAAUAUUCCGAUUUCCACGGGAGCCGGAAUCAAAGGUGGCCUCUGCAUGCAAGCUAUCAUUUAAGGAUGGGCCCGCGUACCAUUAGCUCGUUGGUAGGGUAAUGGCCUACCAAGGCAACGAUGGUUAGCUGGUCUGAGAGGAUGGCCAGCCACACUGGAACUGAGACACGGUCCAGACUCCUACGGGAGGCAGCAGUGGGGAAUCUUGCGCAAUGGGGGAAACCCUGACGCAGCAACGCCGCGUGGGUGAUGAAGGCCUUCGGGUCGUAAAGCCCUGUCAGGUGGGAAGAAACUCGUGGAUGCUAAUAUCAUCCGCGCUUGACGGUACCACCGGAGGAAGCACCGGCUAACUCCGUGCCAGCAGCCGCGGUAA